AGGACAAAUUGAAGAAUUUCAGCCCCGGUCUGUUGUCCAACGCCGACCAGAACCACCCACACCUCCACCCGCAGAGACAGAUGAACUGAGCCGAAAACUGACAGCAGAGCGGAUGGAGUUGCAUAAAUACAUUACCUCUCUGUUCACGAUCCCUCCCGCUGAGGAUGCUGGGAAAGCGAACAGCCCUGCAGAACCCUGUUUAAGCAUCAUAGAGUUAGAUGAGAAGAUGGUUGGAGAUGCUACAUUUUACAGAUCCUUUGGAGUCAAGCAGAGAAACGAGAGCAAAAUGUAAGAAACUCAAGAUCAAGGCAAACAUGAGAUGCUUUGAAAGAAAGCGACAGAAAAGUUCACAGUAGGAGUGUCGUGUUGAAGCAACAAUAUUAUUGAAGUUGCUGUGUUUUUCUUAUUUCAGAACUGACACAAAUACAGUGUCAUGUUGACAUUUACAUUUAUAUCAGCCACAACUAGACUUGAAAUAAAACUGUGGGAGUAAGUUAUUAGAUGUUAUAUAUGCAUGUCUGUUUUUCUUCUUUAAGUUUUGCAUCUGUAGGAAAUGAAGAUUUAUCUGAAGGAGGAGAUUUUGAAUAUUCGGUCUUGCCUUCCACACCGUAUUUCUCUGAGAUGACCAAAGGAUCCUUCAGUGAAUGUAAUUCUGACACAGAGAUCAGCUCUUUUUCUGAGAUGUGGCCCCAGUCUCAAGAGACCGACAAAUCUUCGCCAUCAUUGCCAAGAUCAGAAAGCUUGUCUCCACUUCAAACGAGGCUUCAGAAGUCACAGCACCUGUCGACUACCUCAGAGCCAUUUCUGUUGAAUUCACAAACAGGAAGCCAGAAAGUAGAACUCAGUGACUCUCCAAAACCGAGCCCACGGAUGAGAUCUUCCGCAGCACAAUGGGAUAAACCCUCAGCGCUUCUGCCAACAUCAUCUCCUUCACUCCUAACACCCAAAUUAAAACAAACUCUCCCAUGCUUUGAGGACCAUAUUUCCACUGUCACCCCCUCUCCUGGUAGAGUGCCAUCUGUUAGGGCUUCUCGAUGUCAUCCUCCUGCUUUUCUCAUCUCUAAACAAAGUCCUAAACCUCCAGAUUCUCCAUCCCCAGGGUCUAGAUCAGCUUCCUCUCCAGUCAACCCAAUCCAGUCCAUACCUACUCAUUCAACACCUGUUUCUGAACCAAAAUUAGCUCAACUGUCUUCAGAAUUUGCUAUCACUUCCCAAAGCACUGCAGUUCCUUCAUUAAAUCCGUCACCUAGAGAAUCAUCACAGUCUGCAUUGGUCUCGGAUAGAAGUACGUCUAAGCCUAUCUAUGACUCCAUCAGGUCCUCUACGCCGAGAGUUGAAUCCUCUCAUACUUACAGGCACCGUUCACCUCCGGCCUCUAAAUGGUUAAAGGCACCACGAAAGUCACCCAAAGCUACAGUGCUGUCCUUACAGCUGAGCAUGUCAGAUUCAGAAGAAGAAAUGACAGGUGAAGAUGCUUGCCUGGUGCCCAGUGAGGAAGACUCAUCUGAUGAAGAACUGAGGCGAAUCACAGAUGCAGAAGAGCAAAAGAAUGGAUUUCCCUCUCCGUGUCCGACCACAAUGCCUCUGGCAGACCCUCAUUUCACUUGCACACACCUCACAAAGUCAGAACAUGACAACACAGAACCGGACCUGUUUACAGGAUCUUCCCAGGCUGUUCAUUCUGUAGCCCAGCGACAGGACAUCCAGUCGGGGCAGUACCAAGACCUAGAGGGGAUCCUGACUUUGGGAGUGGACCCUGGAGUCCUGCAGCCUAGCCCAGCUCCAGCUCAAACCUUUAUAGAAGAGCAGAGCCACACAGGAAGUUUGCUAGUUGUAGGGCAGGAGUCCUGGAUCUCCAGCAGCAGUCUUCAGCAUCACGCAGAGGAAGAGCUGGUCGCUGCGCUGAUGAACGCUCGGCCCGUCAGUAGCACUCCUCGUACAUUCACACCAUGCCGUGGAAGAACAUCAUCACAGAGGCUGUGUUUCAAAGGCAACAUAAGCAGAUGUUCUCCCCUCUCUACUUAUCGUCCAGACCCAUCAAACCGGCCGCUGUCUCGUGCCGCUCAGGAGAUCAUGGAGGUCCAGUCGGUGGAGCAGCUCGACCUCCAGGACUCUGAUGAGGAUGAGGAGGAUGUCCUGGCUCUGGCCUGCCUUGAGGAAGAAUUCAGAAAUAUGAGCACUACACAGUUAGAUGAGGGAUGAAGAGGAGGAGAUCUUCAUCAAGAAUGAUAUGAGGCGUCUGAUGACCUGAGACUGAUUUCCAGGCCCUGAUUACAGCACUCUCACCAUGCUCCUGAUAUCCGGCCAAUCAAAGUCCAGACCCUGCAGUCCCCCAAUGCUUUCCUAUGUUGUUAUAGUUUUGGUUGUAAAUUGCAACAAUAUUCAGUUUGUUUUCAUGGAAACUGUUUUGAAAGAUUUGCUUUUGUUACUGGUAAAGUAUCCGCUAAAUGACAAGAAUGCAAUUGCCUUUUUAGCUUUUCUAAUUAGCUGCUUAUAGCUUGACAGGGUUCAUGAGGGUUCUGGAGGAAGGGAAGAUGAAAGCACUGAAGACUGCAUGAAGCGGCAGCAUGCAAAUGAAGGCAUGGGAAGCAGAGGGAUUUCCCCUACAGAGAGAAAGAGAAUCCACACGUGGUCACUGAGCGCAGACAGGAAACCUCCCACAGGACAUCCUCAUUUUAAGGGACAUCAGGCGAGCAGAACAGAGUCAGUACUGUGCAGAUAGGUCUUGAAUUCAGUAGGGCGAUAUUUUUAAUGGCUAUAUUUAAUAUAAAAUGUCUUUAAAAUCAAAUGUGUUAAUAUUUUGUCUAUUUAUUAUAUUAUUCAAGCCAGGGCUUCCCAAAUAUAUUUUGUCACCUGAGCCAAUUAGACAUACAAUAUUUACUGAAAAUUCCCACCGGGGUUUUAAAAUAUGAAUAUUUUACAACACUGUUGCAUGUUCAUGGUUCUCUGAUGGUCAAAUUGACAAAAAUAUUUAUGUAAAAUAUAAUGUUACCAAUCUAGCCUCUGCUAGCCUUCAAAAACUUGUGGAUCUCACUUCCCUGUCAAUUUCAACAAUUCAUUUAUUUUUAGUUUGGGAACCCUGCUGAUGUUCUCUGAAGCACUUAUGAUAAUAUAAAAAUAUCAGAAAUACACGACAAUCACAACAAUAACAGAUCUGGAGGUUCAAAAUGAUUAGACGUUUCUUUAUCUCCCAUCCUGAUGCCUUCAUAACCGGAGAAAGUGAGAAUUAACUCGGUCAUCGUUCUCCCAGGACAGCUAGUUCCUGCAGCCAUGGACCCUUGCUCUCUGAAAACAAUGCCUUUUAUAGUUCUCACCCUUCACUGGGUCUGUUUUCUCAGAGCAGACACAAGAGAUGCGGCCCGUGACCCGCUUCAUUGAUUCCUAUCAGAGACGGGCUUGCAGAGGCAGCGUAUGAAAGUGCCCGUUGUGACGGAUACAAGCUAUUACAUUUUUAAAACACACUGUUGUCUUUUUUACCACACUCUCACUUUUCACUCUCAAUGCACUGUGGGAAAUAGCUGCUGGGGUUUUAACACUCAUACUCAUGUGUUCCUGUGGCUCAGUGGUAGAGUAUUGUGUUAGCAGUACAUAAGGUUGUAGGUUCAAUUCCCAGGUAACACACAUACUGAUCAAAAAAUAAAAAUGUGUAUAGCCUGAAUGCACUGCAAGUUGCUUGGAAUAAAAGUGUCUGCCAAAUGUAAAUGCAAGAUUUUGCCUAGAGGACACACACCCCAUAGAAUAUUUUUACUCCACAUUUUUUGUCCUGCCUUAUACCUCCAAUAUAUACUUAUACAAAAUACGGUUGGAGUAUUUGGACUCUGAUGGACUUGUACUUGAACUAGACAAGGAUUCUGACAUUUUGGACUCAAAUACAGUCAAACCAAUGUCUUGUGUAACAUGAAAGAUAAAAGUAACUAGAUAAAACUUAAAUAAGGCAUUAAUAAAUGUCUCCCACUCCAACUCAGUUGGUUUAACAUGCUAAAUGCCCAUAAAUAAUCAAAAUAUAACACAGUCCUGCAUCUUGUGGAAAAAGGCCAUAUAUUAACUAAUUUGAUGAUGCUGAGUUAUAAGCAUAAUAACUAAAAAUAUCAAUAAAAGCUUUUCAACACAAAAUAAGAUUUUUCUUUUUCCAAUGAUGUAUCAGCUUUAAAGGGGUCAUGAUGCGAUUUCGUUUUUUCUUUUCUCUUUGGAGUGUUACAAGCUCUUGGUGCAUGAAGAAGAUCUGUACAGUUGCAAAGACUAGUCUCAAUCCAAAGAGAUAUUCUUUAUCAAAGUUAAGACUCCAAGAGCCCCAUAAAAUGACUCGUUCAAACACACCCCCACAUAUUUAUGUCACUAUGUGGAAAUAUUUGUGUAAUGCCACCCAAAUGUUCACGCAAAGAAAGAAGUUGUGGUUUCAGUAACACAGUUAGUAUUGAAGCAGUCAUGUCAGGGAGAUGCUGUGUGUUUCUAGGUGAAAGCAAAAGCAUUUUAUUUGGCUGUUUCUUGAACCUAGGAGAGGAUGUAAUUCUGAAUUUGGUGCAACAAUCUGGUGCUUCUGAAUCAGCUACUGCACUGGGUCAGCUGGCCAAUCAGAGCAGACUGUGCUUGUCAGAAGGAGGGACUUUGAAGAAAACAAUGUGUUUGAGAGAGGCAGGGCAUAGAGGACCUUCAAUAAUGUACAGCAUUUGAAAAAUAUAGAUUUUUUUUUUACAUUAAAGCAUGUCAACAUAUUCUGUUACACCAAAUACGCAAAAUAAUGAUAUUUUAAAAAAGCAUCAUAUGACCCCUUUAAUGCACUUAUCAAAAUAACAGUCAAAAAUAAGUAUUCAGUUCAACUUACAAUCUGCAAAGUAUUUAAUGUCAAAUAACUUUGCAAAAUAAGCACUGUCACUGUCACUGGCCAUAAUUCUAACCUUAGAAUAGUUCCAACCUGGCUCAGAGUGAGACAGGAAUCAGUUUUAUACUGAUUAUGGGAUAAUACAAGACUUCUUCUUAGAAAUGGUUAUGGAUUUUUAGAUACAAGUAUUGGAUUUUAU
Molecule: long non-coding RNA, 5018 nt
Organism: Carassius auratus (goldfish)
Lineage: Eukaryota; Metazoa; Chordata; Actinopteri; Cypriniformes; Cyprinidae
Source: Ensembl